Molecule: long non-coding RNA, 1452 nt
Organism: Triticum dicoccoides
Lineage: Eukaryota; Viridiplantae; Streptophyta; Magnoliopsida; Poales; Poaceae
Exons: 4
Source: RefSeq, a predicted model, not a curated record
CCCAGCCAGUUCCUCAGCAGCGCGUGAGUGGUGAGCGGCAGUUUCGACGGCGAAUGGCAGGCCGCAGCUGGCUUGCUGGUCGGCGGCAUGGUGCUCAGCGGGUUAGAUGGCCGGCAAUGGAUUCUGAAGCGUUGUGAGAAGGCGUGUGGCCUGGAUGUCGCGACGGCACUGCAAGUGGUGGUCGUGGCCGCGCUGCAAAUGGUGGUCACGGCGGCGUUGGUUCAACCACGGUCGCCACGGACUGCAGAAGGACGAGCAUCCAGCGCCGCCACCGGUAUUUAAGUUCGUGCUCCUCCCUUUUUUCUCACACACAUAACACAGCGAGCACGCUGCCCUUCUCCUUGCAUGAUGCCCUUCCUCUUACACCAUGUCGCUUUCUUGUUUUGCUAGCCCCCUUCCUCCUGCUAGGUAGCAUCUUUUUAUUGAUCUGAUUGCUUCCAAAAUUUCACUGCUUAUGUCUGUAAUUCCCUUUGGAUCUCAUUCUUUGCCUAACUACUUGGCAUUUCUUGCCCACGAGGUGUUUGUUUUAAUGUCUGAAUGGGAACUGCUACUGACAAUGUGCUCAAAGAAGACGCUUAACAGUGAUAUAUUGAUAGGUGAGGAGCUCAUAGGAGGCGCGAGCAACCCUGAUCCUAAUGCUUUCAGUUCCAAUCAAUUUCAUGUUUGUUACACCUCGUCAUGUUCUUCCCAAAUUUCUACAUUGGUGUUCAGUUUUUGUGGAGGCUGCAGACUGGAGUGAUCACGAGAAUAGACCUCCUACCCGAUGAGGAACAACAUUGACCCCAUCUGUUGAUGGCACUGAAAUUAAUGGUGGCAGAACCAUCGGAGGCGUCUGAAUAUCUUUGAGAUGCUGGGCUCAAACUAUGGUUGCUCAGCAGAGUCAGCACAUGGCUCACUGGUGCUCUUUAUAGAAAUAAUGAAAUCCAAAAUUGUUGUUUGGGUUCUUGUUUUUACAUGGCAUGCAUUUUCUUUUGUAGUUUAAUAAUGUACCUCCGCCCGUGUUUGACGAGACACCAAAGCACCAUAGAGAUCACUUCGAAAACUUGUCACAAGCAUGUGACGCGACUCCCCAAUGAGAAAAUGAUGGCCUUAAAAUGAUGUGUGGUCAUUACGUAUGACGAGACAAGAAAUUACGUUGGCUCAUCCUGGAUGUGAUAAUGACGCAUCCAGUCCAAUAGAACAUCCCAUCAGACAAUGAAUGCUCGUUUCAUGUUUUGGGUCUUUAACUAGAAUGUCAUCUGCCACCAGUAUAUUAGUUUUGUUUGCGGGUAGCCACAAGUAUAGUAAUGACUUAACUGAAACUAUAGCUUAGGCCAAUGAUUUGCAUCUUCUUUAUCUGGUUAUACCUUUGUACGUACAACGGAGUAUGUAAAACUACUUGGCCUCUCCUUACAAAAAUGGAAUUGAGUUUUUGCACUCCAGUUAAUAGAAGGAUACUAAUUGCUUUAUUAA